GGGGUGGUAGUCUAGCUUGGUCCAGGAUUCCGGCCUAGGGCGCCGGCGACCGGGGUUCAAAUCCCCGCCACCCCA
Molecule: transfer RNA, 75 nt
Filed under: Nanobdellota archaeon
Lineage: Archaea; Nanobdellati; Nanobdellota
Also listed under: 2 other names
Description: Nanoarchaeota archaeon tRNA-Pro
Rfam family: tRNA
About the family: Transfer RNA (tRNA) molecules are approximately 80 nucleotides in length. Their secondary structure includes four short double-helical elements and three loops (D, anti-codon, and T loops).
Source: RNAcentral